Molecule: transfer RNA, 97 nt
Filed under: Gemmataceae bacterium
Lineage: Bacteria; Pseudomonadati; Planctomycetota; Planctomycetia; Gemmatales; Gemmataceae
Description: tRNA-Sec
Rfam family: Selenocysteine transfer RNA
Source: RNAcentral
GGAGCGUUUGCACCUCUGGUGAGGGCCCUGGUCUUCAAAACCAGUGGGCGCAUGGGCAACAUGCGCCAGUGGGUUCGAUUCCCAUACGCUCCCGCCA